Molecule: long non-coding RNA, 460 nt
Filed under: Mytilus galloprovincialis (Mediterranean mussel)
Lineage: Eukaryota; Metazoa; Mollusca; Bivalvia; Mytilida; Mytilidae
Source: RNAcentral
AAAACAAUCUUUACCAUUCAGUGAUAACAAGCACUUUUUUUACAUUUUAAUAUUUUAUGAUGUAUUUAAAUGAGUAGUUAUUGUUGCAAACUUCAUUAGAAAUUUGAAUUGAGAUCAGUUUUGAAAUAAGGGAAAGGGGGAUGUGAAAAAAAAAUUGGAGGGUCAAUUUUUUUCAUUUCAGAUUUCAUAAAUAAAAAGAAAAUUUCUUCAAACAUUUUUUUGAGAGGAUUAAUAUUCAACAGCAUAGUGAAUUGCUCAAAGGCAAACAUUUUUUUUAAGUUCAUUAGACCACAUUCAUUCUGUGUCAGAAACCUAUGCUGUGUCAACUAUUUAAUCACAAUCCAAAUUUAGAGCUGAAUCCAGCUUGAAUGUUGUGUCCAUACUUGCCCCAACCGUUCAGGGUUCAACCUCUGCGGUCGUAUAAAGCUGCGCCCUGCGGAGCAUCUGGUUCAAUUUGAUA